UUAAAAUGUCGGUCAAACUUUUAUCCAAAUUCUCAACGUUCACUCUCAUAUCGUAUUUACAGUAAACACAGUAGCGACGGCGGUGUCUGUGUUCUCUAAGCUCUCCUCAGUUGCAAGGUAAGGGACAAAGGAGCAUAGUGUGCCAAAAGGAGAACAAGUAGAACACAAAUUCAUGUUUAAAAACAGGGCAGCAAGCACAAAUAUAAGUUGAUUAUUUAAUACAAAUGGCUGAAUCGAGUAUCUCUGAGUUGCAAACUACAACCAAACCACAAGUCUUAUACCGGUGUAAGAAAUGUAGAAGAAUUGUUGCUUCAAAGGAGAAUAUAGUUACUCAUGAGCGUGGAGAAGGAGAAUCAAGCUUCAAGUGGAAAAAGAGAAGCAGUCAACCCUGGGAAGUGGAAAAGCAACCAAUUGAUUGUACCUCAGUAUUUGUUGAACCUAUGAAGUGGAUGCAAGCAGUGCAAGAAGGUCAUGUAGAGGAGAAACUUCUUUGUAUCGGAUGUAAUGCACGCUUGGGCUACUUCAACUGGGCUGGUAUGCAAUGCAGCUGCGGCGCAUGGGUUAACCCUGCAUUUCAGCUUCAUAAAAGCAAAUUAGAUGAGUGCUACAUGUAAACUAAUCAACCUUUCAGCUUUCUCAAACCAAAGGUUGAGUUGUAUUAUUUUCUCAUGAACGAAAGAUAUGGAAGCUUAGCUUGGACCUUGGAGCAUUGCCUUGUGCUGCCUUUGCAUCUCCAAACUGUGUGUUUUAGGUUGCAUAUUAUAGGUUAGUCACUGAAUGAGUAAGGGAAAUAAAUUGGGAAUGGUUCUUAUGAUAUUGAUCUGCUAAUCUUCAUUUCAAGCUCAUAUCUUCUAAUCUCUUCCCUUCUUAUUUUUACCCAUAACAUUACUUUUGUUUCUCUCCUUUUUUGUGCGAGAAAUGCUAUCAACAACUACAGAGUUGUGUAAGACACCUUCCAAAAAAGAGAAGGGGGAAAUGUAAAAAAAAUGCAUUGUUUAUAGUUUGGUUCGUACUGACUGCCAGGCCAUAGUGUUUAUGGGUGCAGGUUCAAUAUGUGGGAAACGAGGUGACAGGGUCCAUCAGCAGCAUGACAGUUCUCCGGCAAAACGUAAGGGGCAUGGUGAUGUGGCGAGUUCAGCGGCAUGGCAGCUCCUUGACAACACGCAGCGGACGUGUUGCCUGCGAUUCUGCGAAUCCAACAACCGUUUUAGAGGUUCCCACACGUUUCUGAGGAAUUGCAGCAACAUAGGAUGAGCGUGUUAGAGGCUGUCUGCAUGCAGGAAACAACUUCUCCACUCUGAUAACCAACGACGCAGCUCAAGCUCUAUAAAUGGAGCACCUUCGUUUCCAUUUCAUGCCCCAUUUUAUGUAUGCCGUGUAGUGUGUGUUGCGAGAGAAGAAAUAUGAAGUGAGGAAAAAGAAGAGAGUUAGUAGUGCAUCAGUAGUGUUUUUUUU
Molecule: RNA transcript, 1455 nt
Organism: Arachis stenosperma
Lineage: Eukaryota; Viridiplantae; Streptophyta; Magnoliopsida; Fabales; Fabaceae
Gene name: probable inactive dual specificity protein phosphatase-like At4g18593
Exons: 5
Source: RefSeq, a predicted model, not a curated record